RNAcentral lists this ribosomal RNA (463 nucleotides) under Vreelandella stevensii. Its description in RNAcentral is "partial 16S ribosomal RNA". It matches the Rfam family "Bacterial small subunit ribosomal RNA", at positions 338 to 795 of the family's 1533-position model. Lineage: Bacteria; Pseudomonadati; Pseudomonadota; Gammaproteobacteria; Oceanospirillales; Halomonadaceae. The record is from RNAcentral.
CCUACGGGUGGCAGCAGUGGGGAAUAUUGGACAAUGGGCGAAAGCCUGAUCCAGCCAUGCCGCGUGUGAAGAAGGCCUUCGGGUUGUAAAGCACUUUCAGUGGGGAAGAAAGCCUUGGGGCUAAUACCCUCGAGGAAGGACAUCACCCACAGAAGAAGCACCGGCUAACUCCGUGCCAGCAGCCGCGGUAAUACGGAGGGUGCGAGCGUUAAUCGGAAUUACUGGGCGUAAAGCGCGCGUAGGCGGUCUGAUAAGCCGGUUGUGAAAGCCCCGGGCUCAACCUGGGAACGGCAUCCGGAACUGUCAGGCUAGAGUGCAGGAGAGGAAGGUAGAAUUCCCGGUGUAGCGGUGAAAUGCGUAGAGAUCGGGAGGAAUACCAGUGGCGAAGGCGGCCUUCUGGACUGACACUGACGCUGAGGUGCGAAAGCGUGGGUAGCAAACAGGAUUAGAUACCCGUGUAGUC